GAUGAACGCUAGCGGAAGGCUUAAUACAUGCAAGUCGAGCGGUAGGUGGCUUCGGCCAUUGAGAGCGGCGCACGGGUGAGUAACGCGUACAUGACCUGCCUGUCAGAAGGGGAUAGCCCUGGGAAACUGGGAUUAAUACCCUAUGGUAUUGAUAUUAUGAAUGAUAUCAAUUAAAGUUGAGGCGCUGACAGAUGGAUGUGCGUCUAAUUAGCUAGUUGGUAGGGUAACGGCCUACCAAGGCGACGAUCAGUAGGGGGCGUGAGAGCGUGGUCCCCCACACGGGUACUGAGACACGGACCCGACUCCUACGGGAGGCAGCAGUAAGGAAUAUUGGUCAAUGCCCGCAAGGGUGAACCCAGCCAUUCCGCGUGGAGGAUGAAGGCCCUAUGGGUUGUAAACUUCUUUUAGAUGGGGAGAAAAUGCUAGAUGUAUCUGGUACUGACGGUACCAUCAGAAUAAGCACCGGCUAACUCCGU
Molecule: ribosomal RNA, 476 nt
Filed under: uncultured bacterium
Lineage: Bacteria
Description: bacterial SSU rRNA
Rfam family: Bacterial small subunit ribosomal RNA
Source: RNAcentral